RNAcentral lists this ribosomal RNA (446 nucleotides) under Salmonella enterica subsp. enterica. Its description in RNAcentral is "partial 23S ribosomal RNA". It matches the Rfam family "Bacterial large subunit ribosomal RNA", at positions 1343 to 1782 of the family's 2925-position model. The record is from RNAcentral. Lineage: Bacteria; Pseudomonadati; Pseudomonadota; Gammaproteobacteria; Enterobacterales; Enterobacteriaceae.
GACCAAGGGUUCCUGUCCAACGUUAAUCGGGGCAGGGUGAGUCGACCCCUAAGGCGAGGCCGAAAGGCGUAGUCGAUGGGAAACGGGUUAAUAUUCCCGUACUUGGUGUUACUGCGAAGGGGGGACGGAGAAGGCUAUGUUGGCCGGGCGACGGUUGUCCCGGUUUAAGCGUGUAGGUGUGUGUUCCAGGUAAAUCCGGUUCACUUUAACACUGAGGCGUGACGACGAGGCACUACGGUGCUGAAGCAACAAAUGCCCUGCUUCCAGGAAAAGCCUCUAAGCAUCAGGUAACAUCAAAUCGUACCCCAAACCGACACAGGUGGUCAGGUAGAGAAUACCAAGGCGCUUGAGAGAACUCGGGUGAAGGAACUAGGCAAAAUGGUGCCGUAACUUCGGGAGAAGGCACGCUGACACGUAGGUGAAGUGAUUUACUCAUGGAGCUGAAG